AUGUUCCUUCACUAACAGAGAGCAAUUUUGGUCCAGUUUGCUAUGCUUUCAAGCCUGCAAAUUAUGACUAAUGCAUCUUGAAAUGUUUAUUUUGACUGAAAAUAUAAUGUUGGCAACUCAUAUUUUAAGGAUCAACACAGUGCACGCAUAUUUCAUUCAACAAAAGCAUAAUAUUUGCAUAAGUUCGGCAAAUCAAAAGUGGUACAUAUUCCUAAAGUAAUCUUCACCAAAGUGGUACAUAUUCCUAAAGUAAUCUUCACCAACCUAGAGCAAUGUCAGUAGCAAGUUGGUUCCUAAACAGAUCCAUGUCAACACCAUUUUCCUCCGAAGUUGACGUAUCCGAUGCAUUUGUAGGAACAACAAACUUCUUAUACCGUUCUGGAAUUGUUGGCACAUAAUCCGGAUCCCUAUCACAUCGAACAAAGUGGAGAUCUGACUUGUCAUGGAAGCGAACAUAAUUGUGCAGUGCCAUGGUAGCAGCCACUAUCAUCUUCUGGGUUUCAAUUGAGUAGCUUGGCAUCUUCAAAAGAAUUUGCCAUUUCAUCUUCCAAACUCCAAAGGCCCUCUCUAUGCAAUUGCGUUUGGACGAGUGGAUCCUGUUGAACUUCUCCUUAGGAGUAUUCGGUGGUGCACCUCUUUGAAAGUCAGGGACAUGAUACCUUUCUCCUUUGUAGGGCGCAAGAUAUCCAAUUCGGUUAGGGUAGCCAGCAUCUACAAGAUAGUACUUGCCUACAAAAUAGAGAGAAUGGUGCAUGUAAGUUGUUGGACAUAAGACAUAAGUUGCAACAAGCAAAAAUGCUUACCCUUUGGAGGAUGGGGAAAGGUGGCCUUAUCCAUAUGCAUUGCGGUAUAUAGCACAGUUGUGUCAUGCAUAGAACCAGGUUGACCAAUAGAUGCAUACGUGAAAUGCAUAUCGAAGUCACAUAUUGCCAUCACAUUUUGAGUUAUUGCUCCUGUUCUUCCGAUGUACCUCACUUGUGCGGCCUCGGGAAUAGAAGCCCUAAUGUGAGUCCCAUCUAUUGCACCAAUGCAGUCUUUCAAGUGUGGAUAAGCCCUUUUGUCAUUCCGAAUCCUUGGAUGCACGGCCAUAAAAUUUGGGUCCUUAGGCUUGAUGUAGUCAGCUGACAUCUUCACCACACAAAGUAGUACUUCAUGGAAUUUACGAUGGAUUGUAUCGGUGGAAUGCUUGAAACGGUUUUGGGUUCUUCUAUUUGAUUCACAGCCUCCCAAGGUCCACAAGAACAUAGCAAGAGACUCAUAACUACUAACAAAAGGGGAAUGGCUCAGCCCAUACUUAUCCUUCAACAAGUCAUGAAGUUCAAAGAAUAUUGUUGCCUUCAUUCUAAGCAUGGUGAAGGUCUCUCCCGGUGUACUGAUAGUCUCCUGCAACCAUCCAAAUCCACUCAAGAUAGAUGUCCUAGGAUCGGCCUUCAUCACCCAACUGUCACAAUACUUCUCAAAUAUGGUUGAUGCACUCAGAUACAUGAUGUUCAUUUCUUGUGCAUGGGCACGAACCAUUCUUUUCUUCAUUUCAUAAUAGUUUUCAUCAUCACUGUCACUAUCAGAUGACAUCUGCACAUACACAACCAAUGAAUUAACUAACAAAGGUUAGCAUGGUGAGUAAGAAAUAUGAAGAUGAAACUCCACUUCAUAAAUAUUAUCCAAUAAGUUAUUACAAGCCUUAUAGGAAACAAUUGUUCAACACGUGGUACUUAAUAUUGUUCAACCUCACACAUAGGAUACGGAAUGGUUCAAUACCAUAGGACAUAAGCAACCAUCACACAUAUGACAUAAAUUGGAAUCAACUAGUUCCCGUACUUGACGCUGAACUUCCU
Molecule: long non-coding RNA, 1835 nt
Filed under: Triticum aestivum (bread wheat)
Lineage: Eukaryota; Viridiplantae; Streptophyta; Magnoliopsida; Poales; Poaceae
Description: long non-coding RNA (TAES_LNC003527)
Source: RNAcentral